This 434-nucleotide ribosomal RNA is filed under the name uncultured bacterium. RNAcentral's name for it is "bacterial SSU rRNA". It matches the Rfam family "Bacterial small subunit ribosomal RNA", at positions 29 to 457 of the family's 1533-position model. The record is from RNAcentral.
AGUGAACGCUGGCGGCAGGCCUAACACAUGCAAGUCGAACGGCAGCACGGCAGUAGCAAUACUGUGGGUGGCGAGUGGCGGACGGGUGAGGAAUACAUCGGGAUCUACCCUGUUGUGGGGGAUAACGUAGGGAAACUUACGCUAAUACCGCAUAAGAACUGAGGUUGAAAGCGGCGGACCGCAAGGCGUCGCGCGAUUGGAUGAACCGAUGUCCGAUUAGCUAGUUGGCGGGGUAAAGGCCCACCAAGGCGACGAUCGGUAGCUGGUCUGAGAGGACGACCAGCCACACUGGAACUGAGACACGGUCCAGACUCCUACGGGAGGCAGCAGUGGGGGAAUAUUGGACAAUGGGCGCAAGCCUGAUCCAGCCAUGCCGCGUGGGUGAAGAAGGCCUUCGGGUUGUAAAGCCUUUGUCGAAGAAAGCAUUCGGUUAA